ACUUCCUCUGUUAAAUCGGCUCGUCUCUGAAGAUUCGGUCUGGAGCCGGAGUGUAGUUUGCUUUGUCCUCUGCCUGUUUACAGUGUUUUCCCAGAGUUUUCUUUUGAGUAUUUUUAUUUUGUGCUGUCUCCAGCGUGCAAGGAUCUAGUGGCUGCUACCCGUGAUCGGAAGCUGAAUACGUUUAUACAAGUCUCAGUGGUUCAUCCAGCAGAGCACAUUCUGACGAGGUAUUCAAGCACUGAAAUCGUGGAGGGUACAAGAGAUCCACUGUUUUUGACUGGUGUGACGUUCCCACCGGAAUACCCCAUCUAUGAGGAGACUAAAAUAAAGCUAACAGUCUACGAUGUCAAAGAUAAAUCUCAAGACACGGUCCGCACCAGUGUCCUACCUGAUCACAAGGAGCCAAGAGCGGAUGUUGGACGAAGCUUCCUGGGAUGUACAACUUUUAGAGUAGGAGACUUGGUAAAGUCAAAGGAGCAGCAGUUGACCCUUACCCUCAG
Molecule: long non-coding RNA, 500 nt
Organism: Apaloderma vittatum (bar-tailed trogon)
Lineage: Eukaryota; Metazoa; Chordata; Aves; Trogoniformes; Trogonidae
Exons: 4
Source: RefSeq, a predicted model, not a curated record